UACAGAGGGUGCGAGCGUUAAUCGGAAUUACUGGGCGUAAAGCGCACGUAGGCGGCUUGGUAUGUCGGGUGUGAAAUCCCCGGGCUCAACCUGGGAACUGCAUCCGAAACUGCCUGGCUUGAGUACCGGAGAGGGUGGCGGAAUUCCCGGUGUAGAGGUGAAAUUCGUAGAUAUCGGGAGGAACACCAGUGGCGAAGGCAGGUCUCCGGGCACUUACUGACGCUGAGGAGCGAAAGCGUGGGGAGCAAACAGG
Molecule: ribosomal RNA, 253 nt
Filed under: uncultured bacterium
Lineage: Bacteria
Description: partial 16S ribosomal RNA
Rfam family: Bacterial small subunit ribosomal RNA
Source: RNAcentral